This is a non-coding RNA of Caenorhabditis elegans, 143 nucleotides long. NCBI's taxonomy places the organism in Eukaryota, Metazoa, Nematoda, Chromadorea, Rhabditida, Rhabditidae. The record is from Ensembl.
GCUUGGCUCCUAAUCGUAGAAAGCUAAAGUCAAUCCAAAGGGGUCGUUCAUUCAUCUAUUCUAUUCUAUCCCAUUCCAUUAAGAUCCUCAUUUGAAACGCAUUAGGUCCACGGAUCCUGGUGGUAUGGGUGAAAGUGUGAAGA